This 350-nucleotide ribosomal RNA is filed under the name Mischocyttarus flavitarsis. RNAcentral describes it as "partial 12S ribosomal RNA". The record is from RNAcentral. Lineage: Eukaryota; Metazoa; Arthropoda; Insecta; Hymenoptera; Vespidae.
UUUAAUUGAGUUAUUGAAUUAAAUUAAAUAAAGUAUUAAAUGUUAAAUCAUUAAAUUGAAAAAAUUUGGCGGUAUUUUAAAAAAUUAGAGGAAUUUGUAGUGUAAAUGAUGAGACACGAUAAGAUAAACUUUUUAUAAAUUUAUGUAUUGCUGUUUUAAAUAAUUUAUUAAAUAAAUUUUGUAAUAUUAAAUUUAAAAUAGGAAUUCAAGUCAAAAUGUAGUAUUUUAAAGAAUUUUAUGAAUUACAAUUUUUUAUAUAUUGGAAUUAAUUUAAUUUAAUUUUUUAAGGAAAAUGGAUUUAAAAGUAAAAUAAAAUUAAUUAAUUUAUUUGAAUAUAUUUUAAAAUAAGU